GUUAAUGUAGCUUAAUUUACUCAAAGCAAGGCACUGAAAAUGCCUAGAUGAGUCGUAAGACUCCAUAAACA
Molecule: transfer RNA, 71 nt
Filed under: Spilogale gracilis (western spotted skunk)
Lineage: Eukaryota; Metazoa; Chordata; Mammalia; Carnivora; Mephitidae
Also listed under: 5 other names
Description: tRNA-Phe
Rfam family: tRNA
About the family: Transfer RNA (tRNA) molecules are approximately 80 nucleotides in length.
Source: RNAcentral